CCCUACCAGGCCAGGCGCCCUUAUCCUCUCCUUCUCCUCUCUUCUUCUCGUCUUAUCCGUCCCUCCCCCACACUCCUUCUCAUUGCCCGCUCAGAUCCGGCCAGCGGCGGCACCGACGAGAAGCUCACCGUGGAAACCACGAAGACCGAUGCCGAUUGACUCUUCCCCACGAUCCACGCUUUUCCUACCGAUCUGUCCAGCGCCCCUCCUCCCAUCGGUCAGCAUAGUCUUCCUCGCCUGCAGGUCCCAGCAAUGGCGUCUGUUCCAGUUUCGUCUAAGGUCCUGCUUGACGCUAUGUUAGAAAAGGUUGGCCUUCCAGCGGCCACCUACUCAGCAUCCCCAAAAGACGACACGCAUUUGCAGGUCACUGUUAGCUUUUACCCAAUCAAGAUCAGGCUGGGAAAGUCACCUGACAAAGUUUCCCUGUCUACCUCAGAGCACCAAGAUCUAGAGAUAGCUCAGGAUUACGUGGUUGCUGCAGUGAUUAAGUACAUGGAUGCUUACGAGGGUGUGGUUCCUAAAGAUUACCAUUAUGAUCAACUGAUGAAUGUGGAAAAGGCAAAUGUACUGUUGGGUCAGCAGCUUAAGGUGAUGGAAAAGAACGCUGCAUCUCUGAAAUAGAAGCUGAAAGAGAGCAUUACCACAAACAAGCUCCUGAGCAAAGGAUGGGAUGGAUCCCUGGACACAGAGCAGAGGAUCGUCAACAACCUUAAGCAUCUGGUUAACAGCAGGCUGACUCCAGGAUCUACUCCAGAUGACCUGGAGCUCAACAACGUUCUUCUCAAUGUAGAUGCCAGUUGCGAAUACCUUCAACAGUACACUGAUGAGGCCAUGGUCAACCUUCAAGAGACCGGUAUCUAUCCCUAUGGCCAGGAGCAAUCAACUGAUGAAGAUGAGGACCUGCCAACCCAAAGCGAUGAAAAUCCACCAUACGACCCAGAGAUGAGGACCUUCCUUGAUGAUGAACAGAUCUUUGACAGUGAAGGAUACUGCUCUGAUGACUACCGUGUUCUACCUGAAGAUCACUUCUAAUGGCCCUGCAAGAACAAUCAGAUCACCGCUAUCAUCGUUAGAGCCAGUCGUUGCUCCCAGCUAUCUAUAGCCCUAUGUAGUAUGUGUCCUAUCCAACCAUGACACUGUCGGUUCUUCCGAAUCUAUCUACUGGGCCUUAAUGGUCUGUAUAUAUGAACCUAAUGAUGUAAUAUGUCCUAUCGAACCAUGUCACUCUCGGUUAUGUUGGAUCUACUACUGGAACUUCGUACUA
Molecule: long non-coding RNA, 1264 nt
Organism: Triticum aestivum (bread wheat)
Lineage: Eukaryota; Viridiplantae; Streptophyta; Magnoliopsida; Poales; Poaceae
Exons: 3
Source: RefSeq, a predicted model, not a curated record